AAGUCGUAACAAGGUUUCCGUAGGUGAACCUGCGGAAGGAUCAUUACAAAUAAAGCUGGUAGGAAGUGGGGUCUUGAUCUGUAAGUGGUAGAGCGAACAGUCCGGCUGCCUCCCGAAAUGUCUUACAUGUCCCCCACAGCCUGAAGGCCGAAUUACAACCCUUGAUUAUCUACACUUGUUGCUUUUGGAUGGCUCAUCAGCCAGGUACCGCCCAAGGACCCUACUCUUCGCUAGCUUUUAGUGACGUCUGAGUACUAUAUAAUAUUUAAAA
RNAcentral lists this unclassified non-coding RNA (271 nucleotides) under plant metagenome. RNAcentral's name for it is "partial contains small subunit ribosomal RNA and internal transcribed spacer 1". The stretch from base 1 to 46 matches the Rfam family "Eukaryotic small subunit ribosomal RNA", at positions 1786 to 1831 of the family's 1831-position model. The record is from RNAcentral.